GAUGAACGCUGGCGGCGUGCCUAAUACAUGCAAGUCGAGCGAACGGACGAGAAGCUUGCUUCUCUGAUGUUAGCGGCGGACGGGUGAGUAACACGUGGAUAACCUACCUAUAAGACUGGGAUAACUUCGGGAAACCGGAGCUAAUACCGGAUAAUAUUUUGAACCGCAUGGUUCAAAAGUGAAAGACGGUCUUGCUGUCACUUAUAGAUGGAUCCGCGCUGCAUUAGCUAGUUGGUAAGGUAACGGCUUACCAAGGCAACGAUGCAUAGCCGACCUGAGAGGGUGAUCGGCCACACUGGAACUGAGACACGGUCCAGACUCCUACGGGAGGCAGCAGUAGGGAAUCUUCCGCAAUGGGCGAAAGCCUGACCGAGCAACGCCGCGUGAGUGAUGAAGGUCUUCGGAUCGUAAAACUCUGUUAUUAGGGAAGAACAUAUGUGUAAGUAACUGUGGACAUCUUGACGGUACCUAAUCAGAAAGCCACGGCUAACUACGUG
RNAcentral lists this ribosomal RNA (497 nucleotides) under uncultured bacterium. RNAcentral's name for it is "partial 16S ribosomal RNA". It matches the Rfam family "Bacterial small subunit ribosomal RNA", at positions 28 to 507 of the family's 1533-position model. The record is from RNAcentral.